GAUGAACGCUGGCGGCGUGCCUAAUACAUGCAAGUCGAGCGAACGGACGAGAAGCUUGCUUCUCUGAUGUUAGCGGCGGACGGGUGAGUAACACGUGGAUAACCUACCUAUAAGACUGGGAUAACUUCGGGAAACCGGAGCUAAUACCGGAUGAUAUUUUGAACCGCAUGGUUCAAAAGUGAAAGACGGUCUUGCUGUCACUUAUAGAUGGAUCCGCGCUGCAUUAGCUAGUUGGUAAGGUAACGGCUUACCAAGGCAACGAUGCAUAGCCGACCUGAGAGGGUGAUCGGCCACACUGGAACUGAGACACGGUCCAGAGUCCUACGGGAGGCAGCAGUAGGGAAUCUUCCGCAAUGGGCGAAAGCCUGACGGAGCAACGCCGCGUGAGUGAUGAAGGUCUUCGGAUCGUAAAACUCUGUUAUUAGGGAAGAACAUAUGUGUAAGUAACUGUGCACAUCUUGACGGUACCUAAUCAGAAAGCCACGGCUAACUACGUG
RNAcentral lists this ribosomal RNA (497 nucleotides) under uncultured bacterium. Its description in RNAcentral is "partial 16S ribosomal RNA". It matches the Rfam family "Bacterial small subunit ribosomal RNA", at positions 28 to 507 of the family's 1533-position model. The record is from RNAcentral.